GACGAACGCUGGCGGCGUGCUUAACACAUGCAAGUCGAACGGAAAGGCCCCUUUGGGGGUCCUCGAGUGGCGAACGGGUGCGUAACACGUGAGUAACCUGCCCUUGACUUCGGGAUAACUUCAGGAAACUGGGGCUAAUACCGGAUAGGAAUCCUUGCUGCAUGGUGGGGGUUGGAAAGCUUCGGCGGUUUUGGAUGGACUCGCGGCUUAUCAGCUUGUUGGUGGGGUAGUGGCUUACCAAGGCUUUGACGGGUAGCCGGCCUGAGAGGGCGACCGGCCACAUUGGGACUGAGAUACGGCCCAGACGCCUACGGGAGGCAGCAGUGGGGAAUAUUGCACAAGGGGCGGAAGCCUGAUGCAGCAACGCCGCGGGCGGGAUGACGGCCUUCGGGUUGUAAACCGCUUUCAGCAGGGGCGAAGCUUGUGGUGACGGUACCUGCAGAAGAAGCACCGGCUAACUACGUG
RNAcentral lists this ribosomal RNA (465 nucleotides) under uncultured bacterium. Its description in RNAcentral is "partial 16S ribosomal RNA". It matches the Rfam family "Bacterial small subunit ribosomal RNA", at positions 28 to 507 of the family's 1533-position model. The record is from RNAcentral.